UACGUAGGGCGCAAGCGUUGUUCGGAUUUACUGGGCGUAAAGGGCGCGUAGGCGGUCAGCACAAGUCAGUUGUGAAAUCUCCGGGCUUAACUCGGAAAGGUCAACUGAUACUGUGCGACUAGAGUGCGGAAGGGGCAACUGGAAUUCUCGGUGUAGCGGUGAAAUGCGUAGAUAUCGAGAGGAACACCUGCGGCGAAGGCGGGUUGCUGGGCCGACACUGACGCUGAUGCGCGAAAGCCAGGGGAGCGAACGGG
Molecule: ribosomal RNA, 254 nt
Filed under: uncultured bacterium
Lineage: Bacteria
Description: partial 16S ribosomal RNA
Rfam family: Bacterial small subunit ribosomal RNA
Source: RNAcentral